CUGGGAUUACAGGCGUGAGCCACGGCGCCCGGCCGAUAAGUUUUAAAACAUAAUUUAUGGCCAGGCACGGUGGCUCACGCCUGUAAUCCCAGCACUUUGGGAGGCGGAGGCCGGCGGAUCGCGAGGUCAGGAGAUAGAGACCAUCCUGGCUAACACAGUGAAACCCCGUCUCUACUAAAAACACAAAAAAAUUAGCUGGGCGUGGUGGCGGGCCACCAUGUAGUCCCAGCUACUCGGGAGGCUGAGGCAGGAGAAUGGCGUGAACCCGGGAGGCGGAGCUUGCAGUGAGCCGAGAUGUGCCACUGCACUCCAGCCUGGGCAACAGAGUGAGACUCCAUCUCAAACAAACAAACAACAACAACAAAAAUAAUAAUUUCUCCCUCUCCAGUCAUAAACAACUUAUGAUAAGUUAAAAACAACUUAUGAUAGGACUGAGCUGUUUGCAAAAUAAACUUUAGUCUUAUACUUGGCCUGAUUAUUUGCAUAAAGUGCAGCAAGAAUAAUUACCUCUAUACAGGCCUUUUUGAUUGACUUUGAUGGAACUCUGUUCCACAAGGAAUCUUAGAUAGGAUUUUUAAAACCAAGCCCAGACAUGGGUUUGUACCUUUAAAUACACAUGAGUUGGGUAAAUUUUCUUCCUGAUGUUCCAGAAGCAUGGGGUUUUUGGCCUAUUAGAAAGUGACAUUCUUUACUUACCACAGGUCAGGAACCCCCCCGUACAGAGACUCUGUAGACAAGUAUGAGGUCAGUUUUUUUAAGAGGCUUUUAUUGGCUUUGCAAGUCAAGCUUGCUUCACACCCUUCCAGUCAAAGCUUUGGUAAAACAACCAGUUUUUCCCAUUGUGUUUUGUUGCAAAAGAGAAUGGAUUCUUGUUGCACUUAUGCAAACAACUAUAUUGUUGUAAUUUAAGAAUACUUAUAAUUAGUUUCCAAAUGUUAGAGGAACUAGGCAGAGAGAAACAAACAUGCUUUAAAUCUUGUUUAUGGGAGUAUAACUUGUUUAGUUGUUGAAAACUUUUAAGACAGUUUCCUUGACUUUGAAAAACAAAAUAAGGAUUAGCAGUGUUCCAAGCAUAAAUUAAGAAUAUUGCCUUAGUUUUCUAUUAGUUUAGUCCAUUUUGUUAACUCUUGUUCUGCUUGAUAUUCAUAAACAUUUUAGGUUUUUAAUGAGUCCUGUACAUUUUUCUGUUAUUAGAAACCUGCAUUUAUUAUUAGAAUUAUUAGAGCACCUGUUAAGGUUUCACAGCUUGAUUAUAAACCGUAUUCUGAAGAGAAUUAAAACAAGACAACAAUUGUCUGUAAAUGACAAAAAUAUCCAGUUUGGAUACAGUCAGAAACACAAUUGACAAAGAAAUUUGGUUAUUUUUGUGGUUGACAAUAACACAACAUAACAACCUUAACUGUGACUGAUAGCACAUAUUUAGACAUUAGACAUCCCAUACAGUUUUGGAACACAUGCUAAUAUUAUUCCCUAAAUAUAACCUGAAGAGUAUUAGACAUUAUUUUGGCAAUUCCAUGUACCUAAACAUGUUAAAUAAUUCUGUUUACUUUUCUUCCAGAUGCUCCAGGGGCCCUCUGCAGCACCCGAAAGCUAAGGGAUUAGGAAAGACAAGCUUGAGACUAAAGUUUGAUUUGGGAAACCUGUUAAACAUGUUUAGAAUUUAAAACACUUGAUAUUAUGAAAUAGAAUUUUAGAUUACCAUAAGUUAUUUGUUUUGCCAAAAUAAUGAGUCAAAAAUUUGAAACAGCAAAAACCAUCCAUCAGUCUUUUGUAUUACAUGAAAAUCCUGUUCAAGAGAGAAAGUUAAAUUUCACCUUUGCAUUAGUUUGCUGUUAAUGUUAACCCUAAUUUUUAAUGAAACCUUACAGACAAUCCUAUUUAAUCUUAACCAGUUUGACUAUGAAGUGAGAUUUUCACAGACCUUUUAUAACUCUCUGCAAGUUUUGCUAAAGAGCAGAUUGUCAUCUUAAGAAAACCUUGGGCCAGGUGCGGCAGCUGAUGCCUGUAAUCCCAGCACUUUGGGAGGCCAAGGUGGCCAGAUCACGAGGUCAGGAGUUCGAGGCCAGCCUAACCAACAUUGAGACAUUCUGUCUCUACUAAAAACACAAAAAAUUAGCCAGGCGUAGUGG
Molecule: long non-coding RNA, 2129 nt
Filed under: Homo sapiens (human)
Lineage: Eukaryota; Metazoa; Chordata; Mammalia; Primates; Hominidae
Description: HSALNT0204083
Source: RNAcentral